RNAcentral lists this microRNA precursor (84 nucleotides) under Bombyx mori (domestic silkworm). Its description in RNAcentral is "mir-2807 microRNA precursor family". It matches the Rfam family "mir-2807 microRNA precursor family". Lineage: Eukaryota; Metazoa; Arthropoda; Insecta; Lepidoptera; Bombycidae. The record is from Rfam by way of RNAcentral.
UUAACUCAGUUUUGUAUGGAAUUGGAACGUUUGUCUACUUUUGUCACUAGGGGCGCUGUUACUACUGCAUACAAAUUUGAGUUA